CGCCUUCGCACAGGUAGUGACGAUGAGCUGGCAGCAGAUGGGCAUCGACCCCAAGUCGCUCGCCGACAGCGCGAAGUCCACCGCGGAGCGCGAGCGCCUCGCUGCCUCCCGUGUCGACGCAUUCCUCGAGAAGAUCAUGGCCGGACAGGCGCAGCCGAUCCCGGUUCCGGCGCCGCUGCAGAUCGUGCUCAUGGACAAGUAUGAGGCAUCGGUGAAUCCGGCCGGCAUCGACCGCGCCGUGGAGCAGGCCACGAAGAUUCGCGCAACGGCGGAUUCGGCCAAGGCUGCCCAGCAGCCGAAGUCGGCCGUGCCGCUGCCCGGCGGACCGACGACCGGAACGCCACCCGCUGGUGCACCCCGUAGG
RNAcentral lists this unclassified non-coding RNA (364 nucleotides) under uncultured Ascomycota. Its description in RNAcentral is "sequence contains ITS1". Lineage: Eukaryota; Fungi; Ascomycota. The record is from RNAcentral.